GCCGGGUAUGGUGGCUCACGCCUGUAAUCCCAGUGUCUCUGGAGGCUGAGGCAGGAGGAUUGCAAGUUCAAAGCCAGCCUCAGCAACAGUGAGGGGCUAAGUAACUCAGUGAGACCCUGUCUCUA
This 125-nucleotide small RNA is filed under the name Marmota monax (woodchuck). Lineage: Eukaryota; Metazoa; Chordata; Mammalia; Rodentia; Sciuridae. The record is from RNAcentral.